Pipra filicauda (Wire-tailed manakin) is the source of this 1118-nucleotide long non-coding RNA. RefSeq lists it as uncharacterized. The transcript has 5 exons. The record is from RefSeq and is a predicted model, not a curated record. Lineage: Eukaryota; Metazoa; Chordata; Aves; Passeriformes; Pipridae.
CCAAAAAGGGGCACUUCGGGCGGAAAAAAAAUGGGAAUUUAAGCCCAAAAAGGGACAGUUUUGACCCAAAAACGGGGUCCCAGGAGUAUUUUAGGGGGUCCCAGAGUGAUGGGAGAGCUCAGGAGGAGCUGACAGGGUCCCACACAGACUGGCUGACACUCAAUGUGGGAGGCAGGUACUUCACCACUACAAGGUAAAAAUGCUUUUAGUCUCAAAACAACUUGAUUUCAAGGCAGCAAAAGAGCUUGAAAAAUAACUUCUUAUGAAGUAGGAGGUCUUUGCCUUCUGCUACUUUCUCUGUAUUUUGCGUUCACCACCACAAUUUUGCAAGAAAUCAAUUCGUAAACACUUUUUAUGAAGUAAAAAUGAAAUUAAUGAAAUUGCACUGCCUUUGUUUUCUAGAAGCACUUUAGAUACAGACACACACAAGUUAACAAAGAACCUGACAGCAUGUUGGCCCACAUGUUUAAAGAUAAAGAUGCUUGGGGGAACAAGCAGGAUCACAGAGGAGCAUUCCUAACUGACCGCAGUCCCGAGUAUUUUGAGCCCAUUUUGAGCUAUUUACGUCACGGACAGCUCAUUGUAAAUGAUGGCCUUCAUUUGCUAGGUGUCCUGCAGGAAGCCAGGUUUUUUGGUGUUGAUUCACCAAUCGAACACCUGGAAAUAGCCAUGAAGGGAAUUUGUUUGGAGACCUGAAUGCACCUGCCCUGCUCUUGCAGAGGAUGUGUAAUUUAGUGCUGUCUGUGUCAGCUGUUGAACAACAUUCCCAAUGGAAUUCCCAGCCAGCUGAGGAUCCCUGUCCCACCUCUCAGAAGGAGUUUGUCCAGUUCCUGCUGGCAACACCCCCCAAGUCCGAGCUGCGCUGUCAGUGACUCCUGUCUGUGCCAGUGUGCCAACCUGCCAGGGGUGAAGAUGCUGCGCUCCAGCGCAGAGGGAGCGUCCCUGAAAGGCUGCGACUCUGAGGACCCAUCAGGCCUUCAAGCUAAUCUGGAAGGUGCCAGCCUGAAAGGAGUGGCCAUGGAGGGCAGUCAGAUGACAGGAAUUACCCUCCGAGUUGCAACACUGAGAAACGCCAAACUAAAGAACUGCAACCUCAGGGGAGCAACGUUGGCAGGAAC